GGAGGAUUUUGUGGGAAUGAAUGGGAGUGUUUUACUAUAUAUUACAUGGUGGAUUGGUUGUUCUUCAAAACCGUGUGGGCGAUACUAUGUGUGUAAAAUUCAUUAAAACUUCAGUUCUACUUCACCCUCAAUUUGGAGUGCCGUCUCUUAUUGGGGGAAUCUGCUACAAGGGAUUGCUAUGCUAGUCAUACUCCCUUGUUAUAUCACUACUAAGCUCUUGUAAGAGCUUGUUCCUGUCUUGCUCUCUGAAGGAGUCUAUG
This is a non-coding RNA of Pelobates cultripes (western spadefoot toad), 260 nucleotides long. The record is from the annotation of a GenBank genome assembly. Lineage: Eukaryota; Metazoa; Chordata; Amphibia; Anura; Pelobatidae.